RNAcentral lists this ribosomal RNA (589 nucleotides) under cf. Mesorhabditis sp. 803U-009. RNAcentral's name for it is "SSU rRNA". It matches the Rfam family "Eukaryotic small subunit ribosomal RNA", at positions 1024 to 1643 of the family's 1831-position model. The record is from RNAcentral. Lineage: Eukaryota; Metazoa; Nematoda; Chromadorea; Rhabditida; Rhabditidae.
UUCUGACCGUAAACGAUACCAUCUAGCGAUCCGGUGGUGGUUUUACCGCCUUGCCGGGGAGCUUCCCGGAAACGAAAGACUUCCGGUUCCGGGGGUAGUAUGGUUGCAAAGCUGAAACUUAAAGGAAUUGACGGAAUCGCACCACCAGGAGUGGAGCCUGCGGCUUAAUUUGACUCAACACGGGAAAACUCACCCGGCCCGGACACUGUAAGGAUUGACAGACUGAAAGCUCUUUCUUGAUUCGGUGGUUGGUGGUGCAUGGCCGUUCUUAGUUGGUGGAGCGAUUUGUCUGGUUUAUUCCGAUAACGAGCGAGACGCACCCCUACUUAAUACACCGUGAAUAAUUUCGUUCACAGGUGUUCUUAGAGGAAUUGGCGGAAUAAAACCGCACGAAAGUGCGCAAUAACAGGUCUGUGAUGCCCUUAGAUGUUCGGGGCUGCACGCGUGCUACACUGGAGUCUGCAACGUGUUCCAUGGCCGAAGGGUCACUGGUAAACCGUUGAAAAGAUUCCGUGAUCGGGAUAGGGAAUUGCAAUUAUUUCCCUUGAACGAGGAAUUCCUAGUAAGUGUGAGUCAUCAUCUCGCUCUU